CUUAACACAUGCAAGUGGAGCGACGACCGGGCUUGCCCCGGGGCAGAGCCGCGAACGGGUGAGUAACACGUGGGUAACCUGCCUCAAUGAUUGGGACCAACCCGGGGAAACUCGGGCUAAUACCAAAUGUGUUCACUCCUUCUAAGGGGAGUGAGGAAAGGAAGCUUCGGCCUCCGCAUUGAGAUGGGCCCGCGGCCCAUUAGCUUGUUGGUGAGGUAACGGCUCACCAGGGCUUCGAUGGGUAGCUGGUCUGAGAGGACGAUCAGCCACACUGGGACUGAGACACGGCCCAGACUCCUACGGGAGGCAGCAGUGGGGAAUCUUGCACAAUGCGCGAAAGCGUGAUGCAGCAACGCCGCGUGGGGAAGACGGCCUUCGGGUUGUAAACCCCUUUCAGUUGGGACGAAGCUUCGUCGGUGAAUAGCCGGUUGGAGUGACGGUACCUUCAGAAGAAGCCCCGGCUAACUACGUG
RNAcentral lists this ribosomal RNA (472 nucleotides) under uncultured bacterium. Its description in RNAcentral is "bacterial SSU rRNA". It matches the Rfam family "Bacterial small subunit ribosomal RNA", at positions 47 to 507 of the family's 1533-position model. The record is from RNAcentral.